UAACAAAUGAAAUUUUUUGACUAAAAUGUUUGAGCACUUAGGCCGCAGAUUCCACCUCAAAUAACUUUAGUUAAUUACUUUUGUAUGACGCACAAAAUAAAAUUUCUCCAUAAUCAUUGCUUCGUCACUGAUCUCCGUGCACUCUUUUUAUCCAGUUAAAAAAGAAGGAAAAGAAAAAAGAAAAACUCUUUUCUUUUUUAAAGUUCAAUAGGACACGCGCUCGUUUCUGGCGCGUGGUACAGCAACAUUCCGUCUAAGCUUUUACUGACGUUAAAGUCAUUAACGCCGAUGCGUUUAUCCAUUUGAAGCGAAAAUGAGCUACACCUGUUUACCGUUAAAGUCAUUAACGCCGUCAGUGCUUCCCGUUAAAGAAUACGGCAAAUUCAUAUCUCCGUCAGAAUUCCGGUGUCGGAAAACCCGAAAAUCAUGGGCAAUGAUAGUGUAUAGUCGUCUCGAUAAUUCUACUGAAAGCAGUAAUGCUCAACAGCAACAGCUUAAUCUUUCUGUUCUUCGUUUCACUCUCGGAAUACCUGGAUUGGACGAAUCGUAUUUGCCGAGGUACAUUGGCUAUGCAUUUGGUUCUCUUUUGGUAUUGAAUCACUUUGUCGGUUCAGAUUCCUCCGCCAUCACUGCAGCACAGCUUAGAACGGAAGUUUUAGGUGUUUUUCUGGCUGUGUUCUCUGUUGUAGUUCCUUACCUUGGGAAGUUUCUUAAGGGUUCGGUUCUAGUAGAAGAAAGAAGUCUUCCUGAAGAUGCUGAGCAAGCCUUUGUCAUCUCAGAGAACAUAUCAGAUACUCUGAGGGAGGAUUUGGCAUGGGGAACCUAUGCUUUGUUGCGCAACACAAGCACCAUAUCAGUGCUUUUCUCACUUCAAGAUACAAUUUGUGCUCGUGGCUACUGGAGAACACCAAAAGAUGUAUUGAAAUCUCAGUUAUGUGACUGGUUUGAGAAACAGAUCCAGCAAAGUGGUCUUAGUGAUUUGAAGGAGACACUUUAUUUUCCACAAGUCUCAGACUCUGAACUAUGGGAGAUGCUUCCAAAAGGAACCCGUUCUCUCCUCGUGCAACCGGUACUACAAUCUGAAACCUCAGAUUCCAACCAGAAGUGGAAGAAUGAUGGUUUUGUGCUUGUAGCUUCCAACAACAGUUAUGCAUACAACAAUAGAGAUAGAGCCUGGGUUGGAGCUGUUGCAAAGAAGUUUGUAGCUGUGAUUAGGUGCAAGCUUGGUUGCAGAUAUGAUGAGUACUAGUUGAGUUUCCCCCUUUUGUUGACAUCUCUUGGUUCUUCUCGCUGCCCUAGGCUUGAAAACCAUGAACUGCAUGAAGCAAGAGUGUGUACGAUUUGUUGCAUCUUACCGGAAUAUCGCUAGAAAUGUCAUCUCUAUUAUACAGCUGACCCAAAUUGGAAAGGUUGUCAGCAAUUUGGACUGCAUUCUGGGUUGGAAAAUCCUGCAGCCACCAAUAAUUUCAUUACUUUUGACAUCUGUAUUUAGUAAUUCAAUAAGAGUUGCAUUUAGUGAAUGACA
RNA transcript from Capsicum annuum, 1525 nucleotides. It is a transcript of the gene named protein COFACTOR ASSEMBLY OF COMPLEX C SUBUNIT B CCB2, chloroplastic, with no coding region annotated. NCBI's taxonomy places the organism in Eukaryota, Viridiplantae, Streptophyta, Magnoliopsida, Solanales, Solanaceae. The transcript is spliced from 8 exons. The record is from RefSeq and is a predicted model, not a curated record.